GACGAACGCUGGCGGCGUGCUUAACACAUGCAAGUCGAACGGAAAGGCCCUGCUCUUGUGGGGUGCUCGAGUGGCGAACGGGUGAGUAUCACGUGAGUAACCUGCCCUUUACUUUGGGAUAACUUCAGGAAACUGGGGCUAAUACCGGAUAUGAGCUCCUGCUGCAUGGUGGGGGUUGGUAAGUUGCGGCGGUUGGGGAUGGACGCGCGGCUUAUCAGCUUGUUGGUGGGGUAGUGGCUUACCAAGGCUUUGACGGGUAGCCGGCCUGAGAGGGUGACCGGCCACAUUGGGAUUGAGAUACGGCCCAGACUCCUACGGGAGGCAGCAGUGGGGGAUAUUGCACGAUGGGCGGAAGCCGGAUGCAGCAACGCCGCGUGGGGGAUGACGGCCGUCGGGGUGUAACCCGCUUUCGCCUGUGACGAAGCGUGAGUGACGGUAAUGGGUAAAGAAGAACCGGCUAACUACGUG
RNAcentral lists this ribosomal RNA (468 nucleotides) under uncultured bacterium. RNAcentral's name for it is "partial 16S ribosomal RNA". It matches the Rfam family "Bacterial small subunit ribosomal RNA", at positions 28 to 507 of the family's 1533-position model. The record is from RNAcentral.